Molecule: transfer RNA, 80 nt
Filed under: Ipomoea nil (Japanese morning glory)
Lineage: Eukaryota; Viridiplantae; Streptophyta; Magnoliopsida; Solanales; Convolvulaceae
Rfam family: tRNA
About the family: Transfer RNA (tRNA) molecules are approximately 80 nucleotides in length.
Source: Rfam by way of RNAcentral
GUUGCUUUGGCCGAGUGGUUAAGGCGUGUGCCUGCUAAGUACAUGGGGUUUCCCCCGCAGUUUGAAUAUCUCAGGCAACG